Molecule: transfer RNA, 35 nt
Filed under: Taxillus chinensis
Lineage: Eukaryota; Viridiplantae; Streptophyta; Magnoliopsida; Santalales; Loranthaceae
Description: partial tRNA-Lys
Source: RNAcentral
UGGGUUAUCCGGAACUUGAACCCGGAACCCGUUGG